RNAcentral lists this ribosomal RNA (375 nucleotides) under uncultured Serratia sp. RNAcentral's name for it is "bacterial SSU rRNA". It matches the Rfam family "Bacterial small subunit ribosomal RNA", at positions 521 to 895 of the family's 1533-position model. Lineage: Bacteria; Pseudomonadati; Pseudomonadota; Gammaproteobacteria; Enterobacterales; Yersiniaceae. The record is from RNAcentral.
UAAUACGGAGGGUGCAAGCGUUAAUCGGAAUUACUGGGCGUAAAGCGCACGCAGGCGGUUUGUUAAGUCAGAUGUGAAAUCCCCGGGCUCAACCUGGGAACUGCAUUUGAAACUGGCAAGCUAGAGUCUCGUAGAGGGGGGUAGAAUUCCAGGUGUAGCGGUGAAAUGCGUAGAGAUCUGGAGGAAUACCGGUGGCGAAGGCGGCCCCCUGGACGAAGACUGACGCUCAGGUGCGAAAGCGUGGGGAGCAAACAGGAUUAGAUACCCUGGUAGUCCACGCUGUAAACGAUGUCGAUUUGGAGGUUGUGCCCUUGAGGCGUGGCUUCCGGAGCUAACGCGUUAAAUCGACCGCCUGGGGAGUACGGCCGCAAGGUU